GUCCAGCUAGCUCAGUUGGUAAAGCACAAAACUCUUGAUCUUGGGGUCAUGAGGUAAAAUCUCAUGUAGAGCA
Molecule: transfer RNA, 73 nt
Filed under: Mustela putorius furo (domestic ferret)
Lineage: Eukaryota; Metazoa; Chordata; Mammalia; Carnivora; Mustelidae
Rfam family: tRNA
About the family: Transfer RNA (tRNA) molecules are approximately 80 nucleotides in length.
Source: Rfam by way of RNAcentral